GAGCACAGGCGCAUGUGACUGGAGUAGCCUUCUGCGGACCUAGCCCAGUCCCGACAACCGUGAUGGGUAAGGAAAUUUUGAAGGGUUGAGAAGGGGGGUCUAGGAUUUGGGGUUCGGGUCGGAAGAAUUUGCUUCCAGCUACUGGAUCGAUGCCAAUUAUGGCGGAGAAGGGAAGAGAAGGGCUACCCCAGCCUAAGGCUAAGGAGAAGGCUGUUUUGCCACCUCGGCUGUGGCCUAAUAGACUUAGUUUUGAAAGGUCUCCUUUCACGUUGGUUGGGAGUAAUGGGUCAAGUCCUGACGAUAACCAUUUUAUCACAUCUACUGCUGACUUUAUUUCAUCCAUUUCACUUGUGGUUGGCAUUACGUACAACUGAAAUUAUAACCAAAGUAUUAUACACUCAUUUUUAAUACAAAGUUAGGUUUACACUACGAAAAUAAUAAGGAAAUAUACCUUUUUUAUCAACUUAAUUAGUUUUGAAAAAUACAGGAGCAUUUAGUCCUCAUGUUUUAAGUUUUUAUGAAUAGUUUUAAAUGUCCUUUAUUUAUAUAUAAAAAAUGGAUCAAAUGUGGAAGUGUCAUUAUGAUUUAGAAAAUAACUAUUUUUUUAAAUCUUUUUCCUCGUCUAUCUCAUCUUUAUUCCCACAAUCUCUCUUCUCGCCUUCCAUUAAUAAAUUUUCAAAAAUAAAAAUUCUUUCAGUGAUCAAAAAAAGAUAUUUCUUUUCCAAAUAACAAUAUAUGUUUGUUUCAUUCCAAUAACCCAAUAAAGUGGCGAAAUAAAUAUCAAAAUGUUAAAAUAAAAAUAAAUAAUAAGUUAUGAAUUAUAAAAGUUCAUUCCAUGACCAAUUGUUGUACACAAUCAUGGGUGUAGCCCUUACUUAACAAUCAAGUAUUUUUAAGGAAAAAACCUUACAAAAAUUGACCAUUUUGUAAUUCUAUUUUGUAACCAUUUCAUCAAGUAUAUUUGAAACUUUAUUUUAGUUAUUCAAAUUUAACUUGAUUUUUGAUAACGUGAGUAAAAAAUAGAUAUAAAGAAAGAGAUUUUAAAAAUGAAAGAGAUGUUUAAAGACUUAGCUUUAAAAAAAAUAAUUACCAAAUAAAUAAGGCUUUAAUGUUUGAGUCUAGAAGAAAAUGUGUGUUUUGGUUCAUAGGUUCGAAGAGGUACAUUUUAUAUUCUCAAGUAUUUAGAAAUAGGUCCGUUAGGUUUUAUGAAUUUAUGAAUUACAUAUUUUAGCUCUAAGAUUUUAAGAAUGAGUUUAAAAGUUUUAGGAAGAAAUUUUAUUAUUUUAAAUAUUUAUAUGACAUUUUAAAUUUAGAAAAAGAAACUGUAUUGAAAAUUUAGGCUCCAAUUGAUAAUCUAUUCAAUUUUUUGUUUUUGUUUUUAAAUUUUUGCUUACGAAAAGCAAAAACAUAUGUGUGACAGAUUUUGUUUUUUCGUUUUUAAAACAAAAUAUUAUUUUUUCAUUUUCAGUUUUCGUUCCUAAUUUUAAAAACAAGUUUAUUGUUUAAAAAACAGAAAGUAAAUUAGCUAACAAAAACACACUUUUAAAAAAAUUCAUUUUCAAAAACAAAAAACAGAAAACAAAUAGUUUACCAACCAUGUUCCAGCAGAUCCAAAUACAUCUAUUUUUCAAAACUCAAAAACUAAAAAUGUAAAACUUGAAAAUCUAUAAACCCAACACCUAUUCUUCAAAACUAUAGAACUAAAGGAAUAUGUAUUUUUUCACAUUCAAAAAAUUUAAACAAUCAAAUAUAGCAAAAUGUUUGGAAUUAAUGAUAUAUAGACAAUCUCUCUAAACCAUGAAAAACUCUAACUUUGUCCCAUUUUUUUGUUGACCAAAAUUAAACUUAAAAUGAGUGUAUAUAAUCGUGGGAGUAUUUCUUAAUUUGUAAGUACAUACAUACAUAUAGAUUAUAAGUAAGCUAAUUAAGGUUUAUGCAUGGGUUUUACCUGUGGAGCAGCAAUAACAUAGCCAUGGGAAGCUAUAAGGGUGAGGAAAUCAGUGUAGAAGGAUCCAUAACAGCUGAAGCCAUGAAAGAACAAAAUGGCUGGAUAUAAACCUGGAGUUUUGGGUGUGAACACCAACAGUGGCUUUGAAGUUGAAAAUAUG
RNAcentral lists this long non-coding RNA (2108 nucleotides) under Cucumis sativus (cucumber). RNAcentral's name for it is "long non-coding RNA (CSAT_LNC002002)". Lineage: Eukaryota; Viridiplantae; Streptophyta; Magnoliopsida; Cucurbitales; Cucurbitaceae. The record is from RNAcentral.